RNAcentral lists this long non-coding RNA (371 nucleotides) under Mytilus galloprovincialis (Mediterranean mussel). The record is from RNAcentral. Lineage: Eukaryota; Metazoa; Mollusca; Bivalvia; Mytilida; Mytilidae.
CGUAAAUGUAGUUACGUGCAUUGAGUGUGUUAACUUUUAGAGACAACCGUGUCACUGUAACAUAGGCCACUGUAUCAAACACAACUUUUUUUAAAUCAAAAAUUCUAUCAUACAGAGGUAAGUUUUAUUUUGAGAACUGGCUUUUGGCAAAUAAACCAAUUGCACAUAAAGAGCCAAACUAAAAAUUCUUAGCAAUUAUAUUAACCAGCUGAUUACGAAUGAGUGACACAACUCAUUCGACUGAAUUCGGUUCCAUGUAUGGUAUAUUCUCGUCGUUGUCGUUAUUGUUUCGAUCUUUGUUGUUCCGUCGUGACUUGGUGGCAUUUCGACGCUUACGUUUAGCAUCCUUGAUACUUGUCAUCUACAAAUAA